CAGUAGCCGCGGGAAUACGUAGGGCGCAAGCGUUGUCCGGAAUUAUUGGGCGUAAAGAGCUCGUAGGCGGUCUGUCGCGUCUGGUGUGAAAUCCCGAGGCUCAACCUCGGGCUUGCAUCGGGUACGGGCAGACUAGAGUGCGGUAGGGGAGACUGGAAUUCCUGGUGUAGCGGUGGAAUGCGCAGAUAUCAGGAGGAACACCGAUGGCGAAGGCAGGUCUCUGGGCCGCAACUGACGCUGAGGAGCGAAAGCAUGGGGAGCGAACAGGAUUAGAUACCCCCGUAGUCCCUGUCUCUUAUAC
Molecule: ribosomal RNA, 301 nt
Filed under: uncultured bacterium
Lineage: Bacteria
Description: partial 16S ribosomal RNA
Rfam family: Bacterial small subunit ribosomal RNA
Source: RNAcentral